UACGAAGGGGGCUAGCGUUGCUCGGAAUUACUGGGCGUAAAGCGCACGUAGGCGGCUUUCUAAGUCGGGGGUGAAAUCCUGGAGCUCAACUCCAGAACUGCCUUCGAUACUGGGAAGCUCGAGUCCGGGAGAGGUGAGUGGAACUGCGAGUGUAGAGGUGAAAUUCGUAGAUAUCGGGAGGAACACCAGUGGCGAAGGCGGCGAUCUGGGAAGAUACUGACGCUGAGGUGCGAAAGCGUGGGGAGCAAACAGG
Molecule: ribosomal RNA, 253 nt
Filed under: uncultured bacterium
Lineage: Bacteria
Description: partial 16S ribosomal RNA
Rfam family: Bacterial small subunit ribosomal RNA
Source: RNAcentral